This 1006-nucleotide unclassified non-coding RNA is filed under the name Hevea brasiliensis (rubber tree). Lineage: Eukaryota; Viridiplantae; Streptophyta; Magnoliopsida; Malpighiales; Euphorbiaceae. The record is from RNAcentral.
GGAAAAGAUAUAUACACAUGGAAGGAUACCUGAGAAAUUUCCAAAAGCUACAAUGGCUUUCUAGCCCAUUAUUUAUGACCAAAACUCAAUUUUGUGGUAGCUAACCACAAAAUUAUGGUACCCACUGACUGCUGAGACACUAAAAUAUACUAUAAAUUAAACCCAUUAAUGAGCACACUGUCUGCUACUGCCAAUAAUGGAGCAAUUUGGGUUUCCAUCACACAUAUAACUAGACAAUUCUGAAUUGGUACUUGGCCUGGAGAUGACCGUUUUAUUAGUCCCAUCAAUUGCUGUAAUUGGUAGUUCCUUUUGAGUCAUUGAUGUUGGCACUUGGCUUGAAUAGUCUUUACUUUUUCCCCACACAACAGAGUAUAGCCCGAUUGCUAUUAUUAUCCCUCCAAUGAUACUUCCAAGAUAAAGCUUUUCAGCUAAAAUAAUAGACCCAAGAGCCGCAACAAUGAUCAUGCACAGAGGGUUAAAUGCUGUAACAAAUACUGGACCUCUAGUCUUCAUUACAAGUCCUUGCACGUAGUAUGUGAUUCCAGAGGCAAUUAUCCCAGUGUAGACAGGAGCCAGGAGCCUGGUGUCCCAGCCAACAGCCCAUGCGCUGGGGUGGUGAGCAACCACCAGUGCUACGGCCAAGCUCUGAACGGUGCCGGCCAAGCAUAUCAACGACGACAGAGAGAUCUCCGCCGGGUACUUCUUUAAGGUUACGGACUGCAAAAUGUAGAAGGCAGACCAGGAGACACAGCCUACAAGUAUCAAUAGCGUCCCAGCGACCCAAUGUUUAUCGGAAUUGUGAGCAGAAUUUUCAUGAUGGGAUGAUUUGCUUGAGGAUAUUAGAUGAAUAAGAGGGCCCUUGUAAAGUGCCAUAAGCAGAGCUCCUCCGAAAGUAACCAGGGUUCCAAUUACCUUUGCCACGCUGCGUAUCUCCUUGAUCCUUAUGCGCUCUAACCUGUUAAAAAAUAUUCAACUUAGUAAUAUGUUCCCAAUUCUCUAAUUUUUU